RNAcentral lists this ribosomal RNA (449 nucleotides) under uncultured bacterium. Its description in RNAcentral is "partial 16S ribosomal RNA". It matches the Rfam family "Bacterial small subunit ribosomal RNA", at positions 354 to 796 of the family's 1533-position model. The record is from RNAcentral.
GUCGAGAAUCUUUCACAAUGGGGGCAACCCUGAUGGAGCGACGCCGCGUGGAGGAUAAGGUCUUCGGAUUGUAAACUCCUGUCAUGCGUGAACAAGGUUGCUUGGUUAAUACCUGGGCAAAUUGAUGGUAACGCAAGAGGAAGAGACGGCUAACUCUGUGCCAGCAGCCGCGGUAAUACAGAGGUCUCAAGCGUUGUUCGGAAUCACUGGGCGUAAAGGGUGCGUAGGUGGCGUGGUAAGUCAGAUGUGAAAGCCCAGGGCUCAACCUCGGAACUGCAUCCGAUACUGCCAUGCUAGAGUACUGGAGAGGUGACUAGAAUUCUCGGUGUAGCAGUGAAAUGCGUAGAUAUCGAGAGGAAUACCAAAGGCGUAGGCAGGUCACUGGGCAGUUACUGACACUGAGGCACGAAGGCCAGGGGAGCGAACGGGAUUAGAAACCCUGGUAGUCC